GAUGAACGCUGGCGGCGUGCCUAAUACAUGCCAGUCGAGCGAACGGACGAGAAGCUUGCUUCUCUGAUGUUAGCGGCGGACGGGUGAGUAACACGUGGAUAACCUACCUAUAAGACUGGGAUAACUUCGGGAAACCGUAGCUAAUACCGGAUAAUAUUUUGAACCGCAUGGUUCAAAAGUGAAAGACGGUCUUGCUGUCACUUAUAGAUGGUUCCGCGCUGCAUUAGCUAGUUGGUAAGGUAACGGCUUACCAAGGCAACGAUGCAUAGCCGACCUGAGAGGGUGAUCGGCCACACUGGAACUGAGACACGGUCCAGACUCCUACGGGAGGCAGCAGUAGGGAAUCUUCCGCAAUGGGCGAAAGCCUGACGGAGCAACGCCGCGUGAGUGAUGAAGGUCUUCGGAUCGUAAAACUCUGUUAUUAGGGAAGAACAUAUGUGUAAGUAACUGUGCACAUCUUGACGGUACCUAAUCAGAAAGCCACGGCUAACUACGUG
This 497-nucleotide ribosomal RNA is filed under the name uncultured bacterium. RNAcentral describes it as "partial 16S ribosomal RNA". It matches the Rfam family "Bacterial small subunit ribosomal RNA", at positions 28 to 507 of the family's 1533-position model. The record is from RNAcentral.